This 254-nucleotide ribosomal RNA is filed under the name uncultured bacterium. RNAcentral's name for it is "partial 16S ribosomal RNA". It matches the Rfam family "Bacterial small subunit ribosomal RNA", at positions 524 to 777 of the family's 1533-position model. The record is from RNAcentral.
UACAGAGGGUGCAAGCGUUGUCCGGAAUCACUGGGCGUAAAGGGCGCGUAGGCGGCUCAUGAAGGCUGUGGUGAAAGUCCGGGGCUCAACCUCGGAUCGGCCGUGGCGACUCGUGGGCUGGAGCACUGUAGAGGCGGGUGGAAUUCCGGGUGUAGCGGUGGAAUGCGUAGAGAUCCGGAAGAACACCAGUGGCGAAGGCGGCCCGCUGGGCAGUGGCUGACGCUGAGGCGCGACAGCGUGGGGAGCAAACAGGG